GCCCAGGUAGCUCAGUUGGUAGAGCAGCGGACUGAAAAUCCGCGUGUCGGUGGUUCGAUUCCGCCCCUGGGCA
This is a non-coding RNA of Rhizobiales bacterium 65-79, 73 nucleotides long. The record is from Rfam. NCBI's taxonomy places the organism in Bacteria, Pseudomonadati, Pseudomonadota, Alphaproteobacteria, Hyphomicrobiales.